CCUACGGGUGGCAGCAGUGAGGAAUAUUGGUCAAUGGUCGCGAGCCUGAACCAGCCAAGUAGCGUGAAGGAUGACUGCCCUACGGGUUGUAAACUUCUUUUAUAAAGGAAUAAAGUGAGGCACGUGUGCCUUUUUGUAUGUACUUUAUGAAUAAGGAUUGGCUAACUCCGUGCCAGCAGCCGCGGUAAUACGGAGGAUCCGAGCGUUAUCCGGAUUUAUUGGGUUUAAAGGGAGCGUAGAUGGGUUGUUAAGUCAGUGGUGAAAGGUUGCGGCUCAACCGGAGAAUUGCAAUUGAUACUGGCAGUCUUGAGUACAGUUGAGGUAGGCGGAAUUCGUGGUGUAGCGGUGAAAUGCUUAGAGAUCACGAAGAACUCCGAUUGCGAAGGCAGCAUGCUAAC
RNAcentral lists this ribosomal RNA (398 nucleotides) under uncultured bacterium. Its description in RNAcentral is "partial 16S ribosomal RNA". It matches the Rfam family "Bacterial small subunit ribosomal RNA", at positions 338 to 733 of the family's 1533-position model. The record is from RNAcentral.